UACGGAGGAUGCGAGCGUUAUCCGGAAUCAUUGGGUUUAAAGGGUGCGUAGGCUGGUAUUUAAGUCAGUGGUGAAAUGUCCGUGCUUAACAUGGGAAUUGCCAUUGAUACUGGGUACCUUGAGUGUAUUUGAUGUGGGCGGAAUGUGUCAAGUAGCGGUGAAAUGCAUAGAUAUGACACAGAACACCGAUAGCGAAGGCAGCUCACAAAGUUACAACUGACGCUGAUGCACGAAAGCGUGGGGAUCAAACAGGAUUAGAUACCCCCGUAGUCC
RNAcentral lists this ribosomal RNA (273 nucleotides) under uncultured bacterium. Its description in RNAcentral is "partial 16S ribosomal RNA". It matches the Rfam family "Bacterial small subunit ribosomal RNA", at positions 524 to 796 of the family's 1533-position model. The record is from RNAcentral.